RNAcentral lists this transfer RNA (86 nucleotides) under Gammaproteobacteria bacterium. RNAcentral describes it as "tRNA-Tyr". It matches the Rfam family "tRNA". Rfam says of the family: Transfer RNA (tRNA) molecules are approximately 80 nucleotides in length. Their secondary structure includes four short double-helical elements and three loops (D, anti-codon, and T loops). RNAcentral also lists the same sequence under 3 other names. Lineage: Bacteria; Pseudomonadati; Pseudomonadota; Gammaproteobacteria. The record is from RNAcentral.
GGAGGGAUACUCAAGCGGCCAACGAGGGCAGACUGUAAAUCUGCUGACUAACGUCUACGUAGGUUCGAAUCCUACUCCCUCCACCA